GACGAACGCUGGCGGCGUGCUUAACACAUGCAAGUCGAACGGAAAGGCCCUGCUUUUGUGGGGUGCUCGAGUGGCGAACGGGUGAGUAACACGUGAGUAGCCUGCCCUUGACUUUGGGAUAACUUCAGGAAACUGGGGCUAAUACCGGAUAGGAGCUCCUGCUGCAUGGUGGGGGUUGGAAAGUUUCGGCGGUUGGGGAUGGACUCGCGGCUUAUCAGCUUGUUGGUGGGGUAGUGGCUUACCAAGGCUUUGACGGGUAGCCGGCCUGAGAGGGUGACCGGCCACAUUGGGACUGAGAUACGGCCCAGACUCCUACGGGAGGCAGCAGUGGGGAAUAUUGCACAAUGGGCGGAAGCCUGAUGCAGCAACGCCGCGUGCGGGAUGACGGCCUUCGGGUUGUAAACCGCUUUCGCCUGUGACGAAGCGUGAGUGACGGUAAUGGGUAAAGAAGCACCGGCUAACUACGUGCCAGCAGCCGCGGUGAUACGUAGGGUGCGAGCGUUGUCCGGAUUUAUUGGGCGUAAAGGGCUCGUAGGUGGUUGAUCGCGUCGGAAGUGUAAUCUUGGGGCUUAACCCUGAGCGUGCUUUCGAUACGGGUUGACUUGAGGAAGGUAGGGGAGAAUGGAAUUCCUGGUGGAGCGGUGGAAUGCGCAGAUAUCAGGAGGAACACCAGUGGCGAAGGCGGUUCUCUGGGCCUUUCCUGACGCUGAGGAGCGAAAGCGUGGGGAGCGAACAGGCUUAGAUACCCUGGUAGUCCACGCUGUAAACGGUGGGUACUAGGUGUGGGGUCCAUUCCACGGGUUCCGUGCCGUAGCUAACGCUUUAAGUACCCCGCCUGGGGAGUACGGCCGCAAGGCUAAAACUCAAAGGAAUUGACGGGGCCCCGCACAAGCGGCGGAGCAUGCGGAUUAAUUCGAUGCAACGCGUAGAACCUUACCUGGGUUUGACAUGGAUCGGGAGUGCUCAGAGAUGGGUGUGCCUCUUUUGGGGUCGGUUCACAGGUGGUGCAUGGCUGUCGUCAGCUCAUGUCGUGAGAUGUUGGGUUAAGUCCCGCAACGAGCGCAACCCUUGUUCACUGUUGCCAGCACGUUAUGGUGGGGACUCAGUGGAGACCGCCGGGGUCAACUCGGAGGAAGGUGGGGAUGACGUCAAGUCAUCAUGCCCCUUAUGUCCAGGGCUUCACGCAUGCUACAAUGGCUGGUACAGAGAGUGGCGAGCCUGUGAGGGUGAGCGAAUCUCGGAAAGCCGGUCUCAGUUCGGAUUGGGGUCUGCAACUCGACCUCAUGAAGUCGGAGUCGCUAGUAAUCGCAGAUCAGCAACGCUGCGGUGAAUACGUUCCCGGGGCU
Molecule: ribosomal RNA, 1346 nt
Filed under: uncultured bacterium
Lineage: Bacteria
Description: partial 16S ribosomal RNA
Rfam family: Bacterial small subunit ribosomal RNA
Source: RNAcentral